Molecule: long non-coding RNA, 712 nt
Filed under: Cairina moschata (Muscovy duck)
Lineage: Eukaryota; Metazoa; Chordata; Aves; Anseriformes; Anatidae
Description: domestica (muscovy Duck (domestic type)) lncRNA (ENSCMMG00000015819.1)
Source: RNAcentral
AUGUUCAAAGAUAACCCUGGAUUUAUCUUUAAAGCAUUCAACAUCCAACCCCCCUCUUCUGUUUUCCCUUUGCUUAGCACCCAGCUCUCUGUGUUGAGUGUGAUGGGUGACCUUAUUAAAGAAAGACAUCAUCAGAAAAAGUUUCCUGACAGCGUCCAUGUUCUUAUGUUUUGGAGGUAAGGGAUUUUUUACCAACUAAAAUACCAUAAAAGUUUUGUAUUCAUACUACUAUAACAUGAUGUUUGCAACUUAAAGGGGUGGCCUUUCAAUGAGUCUCCGGCAUAUGAGUUUUUAUGUAUUAAGGUCUGUAAAGGGGACACCACUUGAGAAGAUUUACAGUGUUUCAGGACUGUGUGCCAGAUGGUAAAAGCCAUAUGAGUUGCGAAGUCCUUAGAGAUUUUUUUUUAGUUUGUUUUUGUUUAUCAUAGAGAAUAUGCUUCUGGGUUCAUAAAGUUUCAGCAUGUUCUGUCUACUGCGUCAUGGAGAAAAAUAUUAACUCUAUCCUGAAUCCAGGCCACCAGGAGCUAUAAAAAUAGUAUUUAAAAGAGGAGGUAGGCAGGCUAUUUCCUGGGAGAAAAAAAUAGUUGUUUUAAAAUACAUUCUUGCUAUGUUGAUGCUAAAAUUAAUAGGUUGUUAUUAUUGUUAUUCUCUGAAAUGAUCUAUUCAGAAAACAAAGCAAGUUUCUUUGAAACAAUUAUAUUUAAACACUCUG